RNAcentral lists this long non-coding RNA (400 nucleotides) under Homo sapiens (human). RNAcentral's name for it is "HSALNT0050553". Lineage: Eukaryota; Metazoa; Chordata; Mammalia; Primates; Hominidae. The record is from RNAcentral.
GGCCCCAGAUAGAACAAAAAGGCAGAUAAAGGGCAGUCUCCCUGGAGAAGAGACCUGCCUGUAGACAGACAUCAGAACUCCAGGUUCUCCAGCCUUUGGGCUCCAGGACUCACACCAAUGCGCCACCGGGCUCUCUGACCUUCAGCUUUGGACUGAGAAUUACACCAUAGAAUGCCCUGGUUCUGAGGCCUUCAAACUCAGACUGAGCCACGCUACAGGCUUUCCGGAUUGUCCAGCAUACAGAAGGUCUGUUGUGGGAUUUCUCAGCCUCCAUGAGAUUGAAGACAUGGAGUGCAUUUGCUGGGUGUAAAUAAUUAAAGACAUCUCUGCUUUCAAUUGGAGUCAGCCUGCCACCUCUUAGUACCUCCCUCAUCAGAUGGUUCCAUUGUGAAGGAUGACU